Molecule: ribosomal RNA, 445 nt
Filed under: Lachnoanaerobaculum saburreum
Lineage: Bacteria; Bacillati; Bacillota; Clostridia; Lachnospirales; Lachnospiraceae
Description: bacterial SSU rRNA
Rfam family: Bacterial small subunit ribosomal RNA
Source: RNAcentral
GAUGAACGCUGGCGGCGUGCUUAACACAUGCAAGUCGAACGAAGCUGUUAAAAGGAAGUCUUCGGAUGGAAUUUUAACAGACUUAGUGGCGGACGGGUGAGUAACGCGUGGAUAACCUGCCUUAUACAGGGGGAUAACGGAGAGAAAUUUCCGCUAAGACCGCAUAAGACCACAGCACCGCAUGGUGCAGGGGUAAAAUAUUAAUAGGUAUAAGAUGGAUCCGCGUCCGAUUAGCUGGUUGGUGAGGUAGAGGCUCACCAAGGCGACGAUCGGUAGCCGGCCUGAGAGGGUGAACGGCCACAUUGGGACUGAGACACGGCCCAAACUCCUACGGGAGGCAGCAGUGGGGAAUAUUGGACAAUGGGGGAAACCCUGAUCCAGCGACGCCGCGUGAGUGAAGAAGUAUUUCGGUAUGUAAAGCUCUAUCAGCAGGGAAGAAAAUGAC